GAAACUUUCUCCCUUCUCUAUAACCAGAUCUGAUUAUUUUUUGGCUUCAAAUCACUGUGUAGAAUGGAAUCAAAGGGUGAGGAUUCACUCUAGCAUCAAUUUAUCGGUGUAUUAUAGAUAUAGCAGCUGAAUCCAUGAAGAUUGGGUAUGAGUUUAUGGGUGACGGCUAGAGUUACUCUCUAUGAACCCUAAUAUUUUCAAUAUUUUGCUUCUUUCUCAUCGUGUGGAUUGGAGUUCUUGGGGUGAAAUCCUAUCCAGAAUCUAAAUCCGUGAAGAAUGGGUAUAAGUUUAUGUGUGGCCGCCAUGGUGGUGCUCGAUGACCUCCGCCGUCACCUCUUCCGCCGCCAUGGUGGUGCACGGUGACCUCCACCGUCACCCCUUCCGCCGCCACAUGUGACCUCCACUCCUUCCGCUGCCACCUAUUCAGGGCUUAAAACAUGGAAUAAUGAAGGUUUAAGGAGCUGGCAAGUCAACAUAUGGAGUUGAAGUGGAAAAAGUCAACAGGGAUAUUCCCGCGACACGCGGCAUAUGACAUAAAUGGCUCCGCGACCCGCCUGAGAAGUCAAAUGAAGUCGGUUCAGAUAUGCAUCCCCGCGAUACGCGGGGUGUUAAGUGUUUCCUGCCGCAACUCGCGGGCCAAGGUGCCGAGAAGAAAAGGUUUUUAAUCGAUACGAUUGGAUUUUUAGGGUUGUUCGCUAUUUUCUAGAACAAGCAGCCGACAAUCAGGUUUUGGACGAACGUAGAGCAUCAUUUUUCCAUCAUACGCCAUCAUUCAAAUCCAUACUUCAUGUUUUGCAAUUCCCGAAUCAUUACCGAAGCUAGUAUGACAACAAUGAGCGGCUAAACUUCUUAUAACUUCUACUCGGAUGAACUUUUACAUUGUUUGGCAUUAAUUCUUGUUUGCGGAUUCGUGUAACUGGUACAGCUUAACCACUCGUGUUGGAUUCUUGGUAAACGUUUAUUGUGUUUGAAUUAUUUGUCGUUUAUUAAGCGUAUUGGCAA
Long non-coding RNA from Helianthus annuus (common sunflower), 1002 nucleotides. RefSeq lists it as uncharacterized. NCBI's taxonomy places the organism in Eukaryota, Viridiplantae, Streptophyta, Magnoliopsida, Asterales, Asteraceae. The transcript is spliced from 2 exons. The record is from RefSeq and is a predicted model, not a curated record.